AAAUCCGGUACUCGUUAAGGCUGAGCUGUGAUGGGGAGAAGACAUUGUGUCUUCGAGUCGUUGAUUUCACACUGCCGAGAAAAGCCUCUAGAUAGAAAAUAGGUGCCCGUACCGCAAACCGACACAGGUAGUCAAGAUGAGAAUUCUAAGGUGAGCGAGCGAACUCUCGUUAAGGAACUCGGCAAAAUGACCCCGUAACUUCGGGAGAAGGGGUGCUCUUUAGGGUUAACGCCCAGAAGAGCCGCAGUGAAUAGGCCCAAGCGACUGUUUAUCAAGAACACAGGUCUGUGCGAAAGCGGAAGGUGAUGUAUAGGGGCUGACGCCUGCCCGGUGCAGGAAGGUUAAGAGGAGUGGUUAGCUUCUGCGAAGCUACGAAUCGAAGCCCCAGUAAACGGCGGCCGUAACUAUAACGGUCCUAAGGUAGCGAAAUUCCUUGUCGGGUAAGU
This 446-nucleotide ribosomal RNA is filed under the name Staphylococcus aureus. RNAcentral describes it as "partial 23S ribosomal RNA". It matches the Rfam family "Bacterial large subunit ribosomal RNA", at positions 1538 to 1981 of the family's 2925-position model. Lineage: Bacteria; Bacillati; Bacillota; Bacilli; Caryophanales; Staphylococcaceae. The record is from RNAcentral.